This is a non-coding RNA of Sphaerobolus stellatus SS14, 88 nucleotides long. NCBI's taxonomy places the organism in Eukaryota, Fungi, Basidiomycota, Agaricomycetes, Geastrales, Sphaerobolaceae. The record is from the annotation of a GenBank genome assembly.
UUUUAGGUAGUAUAGUGGUUAGUUUUCGUACCUGUCAAGGUUCUACUCUAGAUUGCGUGAGACCGGGGUUCAAUCCCCUGCCUGAGAG